AUUGAACGCUGGCGGCAGGCCUAACACAUGCAAGUCGAACGGUAGCACAGAGAGCUUGCUCUCGGGUGACGAGUGGCGGACGGGUGAGUAACGUCUGGGAAACUGCCCGAUGGAGGGGGAUAACUACUGGAAACGGUAGCUAAUACCGCAUAACGUCGCAAGACCAAAGUGGGGGACCUUCGGGCCUCACACCAUCGGAUGUGCCCAGAUGGGAUUAGCUAGUAGGUGGGGUAAUGGCUCACCUAGGCGACGAUCCCUAGCUGGUCUGAGAGGAUGACCAGCCACACUGGAACUGAGACACGGUCCAGACUCCUACGGGGGGCGGCAGUGGGGAAUAUUGCACAAUGGGCGCAAGCCUGAUGCGGCCAUGCCGCGUGUAUGAAGAAGGCCUUCGGGUUGUAAAGUACUUUCAGCGGGGAGGAAGGCGGUGAAGUUAAUAGCUUCACCGAUUGACGUUACCCGCAGAAGAAGCACCGGCUAACUCCGUGCCAGCCGCCGCCGUAA
This 504-nucleotide ribosomal RNA is filed under the name uncultured bacterium. Its description in RNAcentral is "partial 16S ribosomal RNA". It matches the Rfam family "Bacterial small subunit ribosomal RNA", at positions 29 to 523 of the family's 1533-position model. The record is from RNAcentral.